UCGAGAAUCUUCCGCAAUGGGCGAAAGCCUGACGGAGCGACGCCGCGUGCGGGAUGAAGGCCUUCGGGUUGUAAACCGCUGUCAGAGAGGCGGAAAUGCCAAGGGGUUCUCUCCUUGGUUUGACCUAAUCUCAGAGGAAGCGCAGGCUAAGUUCGUGCCAGCAGCCGCGGUAAUACGAACUGCGCAAACGUUAUUCGGAAUCACUGGGCUUAAAGAGUCCGUAGGCGGCUUGGAAGGUGAGGUGUGAAAUCCCACAGCCCAACUGUGGAAUUGCGCCUCAAACCGUCAAGCUAGAGGGAGACAGGGGUGAGCGGAACAGAUGGUGGAGCGGUGAAAUGCGUUGAUAUCAUUUGGAACACCGGUGGCGAAGGCGGCUCACUGGGUCUCUUCUGACGCUGAGGGACGAAAGCUAGGGGAGCGAACGGGAUUAGAUACCCCCGUAGUCC
This 446-nucleotide ribosomal RNA is filed under the name uncultured prokaryote. RNAcentral's name for it is "bacterial SSU rRNA". It matches the Rfam family "Bacterial small subunit ribosomal RNA", at positions 355 to 796 of the family's 1533-position model. The record is from RNAcentral.